Molecule: transfer RNA, 76 nt
Filed under: Burkholderia sp. H160
Lineage: Bacteria; Pseudomonadati; Pseudomonadota; Betaproteobacteria; Burkholderiales; Burkholderiaceae
Also listed under: 1 other name
Description: tRNA-Lys
Rfam family: tRNA
About the family: Transfer RNA (tRNA) molecules are approximately 80 nucleotides in length. Their secondary structure includes four short double-helical elements and three loops (D, anti-codon, and T loops). Further hydrogen bonds mediate the characteristic L-shaped molecular structure. tRNAs have two regions of fundamental functional importance: the anti-codon, which is responsible for specific mRNA codon recognition, and the 3' end, to which the tRNAs corresponding amino acid is attached (by aminoacyl-tRNA synthetases). tRNAs cope with the degeneracy of the genetic code in two manners: having more than one tRNA (with a specific anti-codon) for a particular amino acid; and 'wobble' base-pairing, i.e. permitting non-standard base-pairing at the 3rd anti-codon position.
Source: RNAcentral
GGGCCGUUAGCUCAGUUGGUAGAGCAGCGGACUUUUAAUCCGUUGGUCACUGGUUCGAAUCCAGUACGGCCUACCC